GGUUUGAAUAGUACUGGGCUAGGUGACCUCUCGGGAAGUCCAAGCUCAGGAGCUUACAUCUUGGAUCGAGGACGGCCUAAAUAUAGCUGAGGUCGAGGAGGCACCAUGUCAUCAUCAAGAAUGUGGUUCGAGACUUAGGAAUCGUACAGGAAAUUAAAGAGUCAGGAAUAGGGAAGUGUCUCGAGAGUUAGGAAUAUGGUCUACGGGUCAGGAAUUUGGCAAGAGUCAGGAAUGUGGCAAGAAUUGGGGGAUUCCUAACACGACUAUUGCCAUAAAGAAUGAAAACACAAGUGUAAACGGCAACGUGUGGCAAUAGGUCGAGCAAUAGAAGAUAAACUCGAACUUAUAUCAACUAACACAGAAAGAAUAAUAGGAGAUCUUUUGUUAUAAAAACGAGCUUGGAAAGUAAACACUACAUGAACUAGUGCUGAGUGAACCCCUUGAUGAUACUCCUGAAAUAAAGAUGGAUCAGUCACAGACUUAUUCGCACAAGGUCCUUCCGUUACUCACGCAACUCCUCGUUUCUCGAAUGCAUCUCGGUGUCUAGACCUUUCACUACAGCAGCACCAACAGGACGUCGUUGACGCCAAGGUCUCCACCUAGGAAAUGGAGGUCACCAAUCCGGAAAACGCCGACAACACCGAUAAAUGUGACCAACUUCAUCACAUGCCCAACAACAAACGUCACGGCCACAACCACGUCCUCAUCCUUAUCCUUGAACUCGAGCAGUAGUAGCAUCAACCUCCAUUGGAACAAGACCAUCGCCUAUAAGAAGUGGAGCAGAAGGACGUGCAGCAAGAAGUGGAAGAGGUGACGUCUCAUAACAUUGUGCCAAGCAAAGAGCAUCAUCAAGGGUGGCUAGAGCAAGUGCAUGCACAAGUCCAACAAGAUCUUGACGAAGUGCUAGCUACAACAUUCCUAGCUUGAUCUGCUCCGACAUAUUUGGCUCCACAUGAAGCAAAAGGCUUUGAAAACGAACGCCAAAUUGCAUCACUGACUCAGAUGGCCCUUGACAAAGACGAUGCAAUUGCUGGAAGGCAUCAUCACAAUCAUCAGCAUGUCCAAAUGCAUAUUUGAAUACAUCCGAGAGAACACUUCAAUCCCUACGAGUGGCUGCACUCAAACCAUUGUACCACUGUAGUGCCGUCCCUUGGAGACACAUGGGAAACUCAUGCAAACGUCAAGCAUAAUCCCAAGAAUGAUAUAUGGCAAUCAUCGUGAAGUGAUCAAACCAAUGGUACACACCAUCCCCAGGAUUCCCACGAAAGAACUCCGGCCGAACACGAAGAUUGGCACCAAGAGCAGGAGAAGUUGGACCACGUGCUUGUAAGCAACCAAAGGGAACGACUCGAGAGAUGGUCCAUGGGGUUCAAAUAUAGAGGGAAAGGGCCCAUGAACAAGAGUGCACCCCCUUUUUCCAAUUGGUGGGUCUUGGGAUAUUUGGGGUUAAGCGUCCUUGGGUUUGAAUAGUACUGGGUUGGGUGACCUCCCGGGAAGUCCAAACUCAGGAGUUUACAUCUGGUAUCGGAGCGGUCUCGGGUCCGACUCUGUUGGUUGGAUAAGGGAAUCACACCACAUGUUGAUUGACAUCUGGCUGGUCCAAUUUGCUCCCGCUGGGCUCGACCCGAGGGAUAGGGUGUCAAGAGAGUAGGGCUCUCGGGAGAGCUGCGGCUCUCAGCUUCCGUUCACGAGGGCGUGAACUUGCAGGGAAGCGUGGUGGAUUGUAAGCAACCAAAGAGAACGACUCGAGAGAUGGUCCAUGGGGUUCAAAUAUAGAGGGAAAGGGCCCAUGAACAAGAGUGCACCCCC
This 1809-nucleotide long non-coding RNA is filed under the name Selaginella moellendorffii. The record is from RNAcentral. Lineage: Eukaryota; Viridiplantae; Streptophyta; Lycopodiopsida; Selaginellales; Selaginellaceae.